Long non-coding RNA from Scleropages formosus (Asian bonytongue), 1539 nucleotides. RefSeq lists it as uncharacterized. The record is from RefSeq and is a predicted model, not a curated record. The transcript is spliced from 8 exons. NCBI's taxonomy places the organism in Eukaryota, Metazoa, Chordata, Actinopteri, Osteoglossiformes, Osteoglossidae.
GUAAAAGCGGGUGAAGUAGGUAGAGAGAAGUACAGAGAGCUGGGUAUUUCGACGCAGCAGACGAGAGCGACGGAUGCGGGUGUCCUGAAUGGAAACCUUGCGCUCUUUCUGGAGGCUAACCUUCCCCCUGCUAGAAGAAAGAAGGUGACUCUGGCUGUGGCUCCUUCAGAGACUGAAGCAACACUCGGGAGGACUGUGGCUGUUGCGGCCAAGUUACUGAGGUACCUUAGGUUCAUCAGUUGCAGUGCUAAGAACAAGGGCUGUAUCAUCCACGUUCACAGGCUAGUGGAUUGUUGGGUCCUGCGUUGACUGCUUCUUGGGUAUGUUGGGUUUUGCCUACUUAAUGCAGCAGAUUGCUGUGCACUGGUCCUCUGUACUAGUUUUAUCUUAUUUUGUGAAAGUGACCAUAUGACGUGUAUUGUACUGUAUUCUCUCUUUUAUGAUCCUGUGCAAGAGCCUGCAGUUUGCAGUACAGUACGAGACUAGUCCUGCCAUUGCUGUAAAUGUCAUCUCUUCGGACUCUUGCAGUGAUGUUCGUAUUUUUCGUCAACAGUAUUCCAUCCACGGAUGGAUGUUGAGCACUAAACACUGAGCAGAGCCUGCAUUUUUCUGUGUGCCUUUUGCCAUCUGCUGUAGUAGGGGUGAUGUUUGCAACCUGUUUUCCAGUGAUGUACCCAUGUUUGCUGACAACUUACAGGAUUCAGCUAAGGAGCACUUGUGCUUCAAGUCAGCUGAAGUGCCACAUAUAAACAUGGAUGUUAUGAAGGAAGCAUUGAAAGAGGUGUUUGCCUGUACUUUCACUUCCUGUGAAAGGUCUGACAGAUGAAGCUACCACUUUAGCCACUGCUACCCAAGUUCAAAGGAGUUCAGUGUUGACUAGGAGGACAUGAUCUGCUGGAACAACUUUGUGAUUGACCUAGUGAACUUACACAAUGGCUUCUGCCUACUGUGAAGACUUGAGUGAUGGACCUCAGCAUUUUUGCUGACAAGUUAAAGGACCUAGUUGGAGGAGCACUUGUCUUUCAAGUCAGCUGAAGCACCGCAUAUAAACAUGUCAUGAAGGAAGCAUUGAAAGAGCUGGAGGAGGAGGAAGAAGACUAAGUCUGAAGAGGAAAAUGGGGAUGUGGAGACAAAAGCAAAGAGGAAAAACUGCAAGGUGAAGAUAUGAAGAAAGAGAGACUUGGUUGGAGAACUUGGCUAAGAAAAGUGAAACAGCCUUUGGAACAGGUGCAAGUUGCAGCAGAAAUGCAAGACUUGUACAGUGUUAUUCUGAUAGUGUAUACAAUAAAAUUGCUUGGAAGACUUUUUUUUUAGGUAUGAGUGUUCCGGUUGUGUGCCUUGAUGUAUUUCUGUGAAAUAUUUGCAACAUGUAUUUUGAGUGGAAGUAAUUGCAUUAUACAGGCUUACCUUAAAAUGAGCACAAUUUCAAAAUGGUGUCUGAUCUACUACAGUCAGUUGUAUCUGUCUGAUAUUUCAUUUGGGAGAAAAGUGUCUGUUGACAAUGUGAAACAUGUCAAAGGGGAGGGUUUUUUUUUUUUU